Molecule: ribosomal RNA, 1060 nt
Filed under: Odorrana mutschmanni
Lineage: Eukaryota; Metazoa; Chordata; Amphibia; Anura; Ranidae
Description: partial 16S ribosomal RNA
Rfam family: Bacterial large subunit ribosomal RNA
Source: RNAcentral
UAGUGAUAGCUGGUUGUUCAGGAAAAGAGUUUUAGCUCUGCCUUAAGUUUUUUUAUUUCGCCAAACAAGCCCCUAAACUUAAGAGUUAUUCAAAUUAGGCACAGCUUAUUUGAAACAGGAUACAACCUCCACCACCGGGUAAAUAAAGGUGACCAAAACUAAGUGGGCCUAAAAGCAGCCACCUUCCAAAAAGCGUCAAAGCUUACCUACUUCAACCAAUAAUUCCUAAAAUAACCUCCAACCCUUCAUUCCUACUGACCCCUUUUAUAUUAUUAUAAAAAUAACUAUGCUAGAACUAGUAACAAGAAGUUGCCCUUCUCCAUAAUGUAACCAUAAACCAAAACGGACCAUCCAUUGGUAGUUAACGUAAAUGCAAAAUCCAUAAUAACACAACCAGAAAACCUUAUGGCUCCCCACGUUACCCUAACACAAGAACAUUACCGGAAAGAUUAAAAGAGAAAGAAGGAACUCGGCAAAUUUUAACCCCGCCUGUUUACCAAAAACAUCGCCUCUUGAUUAAUCAUAAGAGGUCCAGCCUGCCCAGUGACAAAAUUUAACGGCCGCGGUACACUAACCGUGCGAAGGUAGCAUAAUCACUUGUUCCCUAAAUAGGGACUAGUAUCAACGGCAUCACGAGGGUUAUACUGUCUCCUCUCUCCAAUCAGUGAAACUGAUCCCCCCGUGAAGAAGCGGGGAUUCUACCAUAAGACGAGAAGACCCCAUGGAGCUUUAAACCCAACAUUCACCCCCCACCCAAACACCAACUUAACCUAGAGGGCCUGUAUGUUGGUUUUAGGCUGGGGGGGCCACGGAGUAAAAUUAAACCUCCAUAACAAAUGGGCUAACACCCUUAUCUGCGAUUUCACAAAUCUAGGAAUUACUAAAAUAAUGUCUAAUGACCCGAUAAUUCGAUCAAUGAACCAAGUUACCCUGGGGAUAACAGCGCAAUCUACUUCAAGAGCCCUUAUCGACAAGUGGGUUUACGACCUCGAUGUUGGAUCAGGGUAUCCUAGUGGUGCAACCGCUACUAAUGGUUCGUUUGUUCAACGAUUAAAACCCU